AACGAACGCUGGCGGCAGGCCUAAUACAUGCAAGUCGAACGCACUCUUCGGAGUGAGUGGCAGACGGGUGAGUAACGCGUGGGAACCUUCCCAAUGGUACGGAAUAACUCCGGGAAACCGGUGCUAAUACCGUAUAAGCCCCUCGGGGGAAAGAUUUAUCGCCAUUGGAUGGGCCCGCGUCGGAUUAGCUAGUUGGUAAGGUAAUGGCUUACCAAGGCUACGAUCCGUAGCUGGUCUGAGAGGAUGAUCAGCCACACUGGGACUGAGACACGGCCCAGACUCCUACGGGAGGCAGCAGUAGGGAAUCUUGGACAAUGGGCGAAAGCCUGAUCCAGCCAUGCCGCGUGAGUGAAGAAGGCCUUAGGGUUGUAAAGCUCUUUUGGCGGGGACGAUAAUGACGGUACCCGCAGAAUAAGCCCCGGCUAACUUCGUG
Molecule: ribosomal RNA, 433 nt
Filed under: uncultured Rhodopseudomonas sp.
Lineage: Bacteria; Pseudomonadati; Pseudomonadota; Alphaproteobacteria; Hyphomicrobiales; Nitrobacteraceae
Description: bacterial SSU rRNA
Rfam family: Bacterial small subunit ribosomal RNA
Source: RNAcentral